Molecule: microRNA precursor, 105 nt
Filed under: Paramuricea clavata
Lineage: Eukaryota; Metazoa; Cnidaria; Anthozoa; Malacalcyonacea; Plexauridae
Source: RNAcentral
UGGUCGGUUCGAGUACGUGAUAUUUCGGAACAGAAUCUAGAUCCGUCGAUAUCAAUGUUAUCUAAUGGGAACUAGAUUCUGUUCCGAAAUAUCACAUACUCGAAC